Molecule: long non-coding RNA, 473 nt
Filed under: Junco hyemalis (dark-eyed junco)
Lineage: Eukaryota; Metazoa; Chordata; Aves; Passeriformes; Passerellidae
Description: lncRNA (ENSJHYG00000011823.1)
Source: RNAcentral
GGGGUUCAGCUGGACCAGUCUGUGAUACCUGCUGCUAUCAGGGGUGGUGCAAUGCUCACAGCACUCACACAGUACUGGCACUGAGGAAAGCAGGUGCAUUUUGAAGGAAUGAAGUGGGUAAGAUGUACCAUGCCGGUCUUUAAAAUGCCACUUUCAACGGGACACAAAGGAGCCCUUGGCCCCUGUGACAGCUGGGCUCUUAUUUCCAGGGGCACAACUUGUGCUUCUGCUCAUGGGCUACUUACCAACCUGAGGGUGCCAGCUGAGAGCAUGGUAAGGUCAGUAAUUCAUUAUUUUGUAAAUUGUUUUGUUACUGGGGCUAUAAAAGGAGUUUCAUCCUUCAAGCUUGGGUCAGUUUGUCACAAAAAUACCCUGAGGUGACAGGAGGCUGAAAAAGGUGCUUUUAAACUUCCUGUGCUUUCAGCAAUAACUUCCAACCCUGCUUUACAAAGCACAGAAGAAAGGAAUCUGAG